Molecule: ribosomal RNA, 492 nt
Filed under: uncultured bacterium
Lineage: Bacteria
Description: partial 16S ribosomal RNA
Rfam family: Bacterial small subunit ribosomal RNA
Source: RNAcentral
AGUGAACGCUGGCGGUAGGCCUAACACAUGCAAGUCGAACGGCAGCACAGUAAGAGCUUGCUCUUACGGGUGGCGAGUGGCGGACGGGUGGGGAAUACAUCGGAAUCUACUUUUUCGUGGGGGAUAACGUAGGGAAACUUACGCUAAUACCGCAUACGACCUACGGGUGAAAGCAGGGGAUCUUCGGACCUUGCGCGAUUGAAUGAGCCGAUGUCGGAUUAGCUAGUUGGCGGGGUAAAGGCCCACCAAGGCGACGAUCCGUAGCUGGUCUGAGAGGAUGAUCAGCCACACUGGAACUGAGACCCGGUCCAGACUCCUACGGGAGGCAGCAGUGGGGAAUAUUGGACAAUGGGCGCAAGCCUGAUCCAGCCAUACCGCGUGGGUGAAGAAGGCCUUCGGGUUGUAAAGCCCUUUUGUUGGGAAAGAAAAGCAGCAGGUUAAUACCCCGCUGUUCUGACGGUACCCAAAGAAUAAGCACCGGCUAACUUCGUG